CGGCAGAACGGCCAGGCGGGCGGUGGCCCGCUCGGCGCGGGCGGCGCGGGCCGGCUCGGCCCCGGCUCCGCUCC
This 74-nucleotide transfer RNA is filed under the name Streptomyces anandii JCM 4720. Its description in RNAcentral is "tRNA-Pro". Lineage: Bacteria; Bacillati; Actinomycetota; Actinomycetes; Kitasatosporales; Streptomycetaceae. The record is from RNAcentral.